This 29-nucleotide non-coding RNA is filed under the name Mus musculus (house mouse). The record is from RNAcentral. Lineage: Eukaryota; Metazoa; Chordata; Mammalia; Rodentia; Muridae.
UGUGUGCCUUCUGAGCUUUUCAGUUUUCC